UUAUCUUCCAACUUGAUCAUUUUCCCCAAACUAGUAGUUUCAUCAUGCUCAAUGGCCAACUUUGCAUCAUUAUAGGAGACAAAUGAAGAAAGUCCUUUCCUCGAAGGUUCAACAAUAGAUAAGGCUUGGAACGGAGUCCCAACCUCAUCCUCAGCAUCAAUAUAGGAAAAUGAAGAUAAAUGACUGACCAAGAGAGCCUUCUCU
This 204-nucleotide long non-coding RNA is filed under the name Lathyrus oleraceus (garden pea). RNAcentral's name for it is "Pisum sativum (pea) long non-coding RNA (PSAT_LNC015241)". Lineage: Eukaryota; Viridiplantae; Streptophyta; Magnoliopsida; Fabales; Fabaceae. The record is from RNAcentral.